RNAcentral lists this ribosomal RNA (464 nucleotides) under uncultured bacterium. RNAcentral describes it as "partial 16S ribosomal RNA". It matches the Rfam family "Bacterial small subunit ribosomal RNA", at positions 28 to 507 of the family's 1533-position model. The record is from RNAcentral.
GACGAACGCUGGCGGCGUGCCUAACACAUGCAAGUCGAGCGAAUGAAGUUCCUUCGGGAAUGGAUUUAGCGGCGGACGGGUGAGUAACGCGUGGGCAACCUGCCUCAUAGAGGGGAAUAGCCUUCCGAAAGGGAGAUUAAUACCGCAUAAGAUUGUAGUAUCGCAUGAUACAGCAAUUAAAGGAGCAAUCCGCUAUGAGAUGGGCCCGCGGCGCAUUAGCUAGUUGGUGAGGUAACGGCUCACCAAGGCGACGAUGCGUAGCCGACCUGAGAGGGUGAUCGGCCACAUUGGGACUGAGACACGGCCCAGACUCCUACGGGAGGCAGCAGUGGGGAAUAUUGCACAAUGGGGGAAACCCUGAUGCAGCAACGCCGCGUGAGUGAUGACGGCCUUCGGGUUGUAAAGCUCUGUCUUCAGGGACGAUAAUGACGGUACCUGAGGAGGAAGCCACGGCUAACUACGUG